Molecule: long non-coding RNA, 1850 nt
Filed under: Homo sapiens (human)
Lineage: Eukaryota; Metazoa; Chordata; Mammalia; Primates; Hominidae
Description: non-protein coding lnc-GPS2-2:1
Source: RNAcentral
GAAAAGUGCGGGACCCUCAUCAAACUCAGCAACAAUAAUAAGACGGCUGAGCGCCGGCGGCCCCUGGAUGAAUUCAACAAUGGGGUUGUCAUGACCAAUCGCCCCCUUCGGGACAAUGAGAUGUUUGAGAUCCGUAUCGACAAGCUUGUUGAUAAGUGGUCAGGCUCCAUUGAGAUUGGGGUCACCACCCACAACCCCAACAGUUUGGAGUACCCAGCCACCAUGACCAACCUCCAGUCAGGCACCAUCAUGAUGAGCGGCUGUGGAAUCCUGACCAAUGGCAAGGGCACCCGCCGGGAGUACUGCGAAUUCAGUCUGGAUGAGUUGCAGGAGGGUGACCACAUUGGCCUCACAAGGAAGUCCAACUCUGCCCUACACUUCUUCAUUAAUGGUAUCGAUCAGGGAGUGGCAACCCCCUUGACGCCCCCAGUGGUGUAUGGUGUGGUGGACUUGUACGGGAUGGCAGUGAAGGUGACCAUCGUCCACAAUAACAACCACAGUGACCGUCUCCGCCGAAACAACGCCAUCCUGCGGGCGCUGUCCCCCGAGGGUGCUCUCCGCCGUGCUGCCCCUGCCGCCCAGGCAGAACCUGAGCGCCUGCUCUUCCACCCCAACUGUGGGCAGAAGGCAGCCAUCACCCACGAGGGACGCACUGCCCUGAGGCCCCAUGCCACCGAUGACUUCAAUCACGGCGUGGUGCUGAGCAGCAGAGCCCUGCGGGAUGGAGAGGUGUUCCAGGGACCUGGAUGAUGACUGGGAAUGGGGUGAUGCACAAUGGGACGACCAUCCUGGAUGAAUACGGGCACAAUCUGGACCGCCUCAAGGGGACACGGUGGGCGUGGUACGGCGGGAGGACGGGACUCUCCACUUCUUUGUCAAUGGGAUGACUCAGGGCCCUGCUGCCUGGAACGUGCCCCCGGGCGUCUAUGCUGUCGUCGAUCUCUAUGGCCAGGCGGCCCAGGCCACCAUUGUGGACGACGUGGAGGUGGCUCCAGUUCCUGAACCACUCCCUGAGGGGAACAACCAGGUGUCUCCAAGCUCUCCGUCCUCAGGGGCCGGGGGCUCUGACCUGCGCUUCCAUCAGCUGCACGGCAGUAACGCAGUCAUCACUAACGGGGGCCGCACCGCCCUCCGCCACAACUGUCGCAGCGAGUUUAAUGACGCCAUCGUCAUCUCCAACCGGGCCCUGCGGGAUGGAGAGCUGUUUGAAAUUGUCAUUCAGAAGAUGGUGGACCGCUGGUCAGGCUCCAUUGAGGCUGGAGUGACUGCUAUUCGGCCUGAAGACCUGGAAUUCCCCAACACCAUGACAGACAUUGACUAUGACACAUGGAUGCUGAGUGGUACAGCCAUCAUGCAAGACGGUAACACGAUGCGCAACAAUUAUGGGUGUGACCUGGAUGCGCUGGGCACAGGUGCACGCAUUGGCAUGAUGCGAACUGCCAAGGGCGACCUGCACUACUUCAUCAACGGCCAGGACCAAGGCGCUGCCUGCUCGGGCCUGCCUCCGGGUAAAGAGGUGUAUGCGGUAGUCGAUCUCUAUGGCCAGUGUGUCCAAGUGUCCAUCACCAAUGCCACCGGCCCCAUGGACAACAGCCUGGCGACCAGCAACACUGCCACCGAGAAGUCCUUCCCACUGCACUCCCCAGUGGCUGGCGUGGCUCACCGAUUCCACAGUACUUGCGGCAAGAACGUCACUCUAGAGGAGGAUGGCACGAGGGCAGUGCGUGCCGCUGGCUAUGCUCAUGGCCUUGUCUUCAGUACCAAGGAGCUGAGGGCUGAGGAAGUCUUUGAGGUGAAAGUGGAAGAGCUAGAUGAGAAGUGGGCAGGUUCCCUGCGGCUGGGGCUGACCA